This 1436-nucleotide ribosomal RNA is filed under the name uncultured Alphaproteobacteria bacterium. Its description in RNAcentral is "bacterial SSU rRNA". It matches the Rfam family "Bacterial small subunit ribosomal RNA". The record is from RNAcentral. Lineage: Bacteria; Pseudomonadati; Pseudomonadota; Alphaproteobacteria.
AGAGUUUGAUCAUGGCUCAGAACGUACGCUGGCGGCACGCCUAACACAUGCAAGUCGAACGAAGUAGCAAUACUUAGUGGCAGACGGGUGAGUAACAUGUAGGUAUCUGCCCUUUGGCCUGGAAUAACAUGAGGAAACUUAUGCUAAUACCGGAUAAGUCUUUACGGAGAAAGCUUUAUGCACCAUUGGAUGAGCCUGCACUUGAUUAGUUUGUUGGUGGGGUAAUGGCCUACCAAGACUGUGAUCAAUAGCUGAUUUGAGAGGAUGAUCAGCCACAUUGGGACUGAGACACGGCCCAAACUCCUACGGGAGGCAGCAGUGGGGAAUCUUGCACAAUGGAGGAAACUCUGAUGCAGCGAUGCCGCGUGAGUGAAGAAGGCCCUUGGGUUGUAAAGCUCUUUCGUCGGGGAAGAAAAUGACUGUACCCGAAUAAGAAGGUCCGGCUAACUUCGUGCCAGCAGCCGCGGUAAUACGAAGGGACCUAGCGUAGUUCGGAAUUACUGGGCUUAAAGAGUUCGUAGGUGGUUGAAAAAGUUGGUGGUGAAAUCCCAGAGCUUAACUCUGGAACUGCCAUCAAAACUUUUCAGCUAGAGUUUGAUAGAGGAAAGCAGAAUUUCUAGUGUAGAGGUGAAAUUCGUAGAUAUUAGAAAGAAUACCAAUUGCGAAGGCAGCUUUCUGGAUCAUUACUGACGCUGAGGAACGAAAGCAUGGGUAGCGAAGAGGAUUAGAUACCCUCGUAGUCCAUGCCGUAAACGAUGUGUGUUAGACGUUGGAAAUUUAUUUUCAGUGUCGCAGCGAAAGCGAUAAACACACCGCCUGGGGAGUACGACCGCAAGGUUAAAACUCAAAUGAAUUGACGGGGACCCGCACAAGUAGUGGAGCAUGUGGUUUAAUUCGAAGAUACGCGCAGAACCUUACCAACACUUGACAUGUUCGUCGCGACUCUAAGAGAUUAGAGUUUUCGGUUCGGCCGGACGAAACACAGGUGCUGCAUGGCUGUCGUCAGCUCGUGUCGUGAGAUGUUGGGUUAAGUCCCGCAACGAGCGCAACCCUCACUUUUAGUUGCCAUCAUUAAGUUGGGCACUCUGAAAGAACUGCCAGUGAUAAGCUGGAGGAAGGUGGGGAUGACGUCAAGUCCUCAUGGCCCUUACGUGUUGGGCUACACACGUGCUACAAUGGUAUCUACAACAGGAAGCAAGACUGCGAAGUUAAGCAAAUCCUUAAAAGAUACCUCAGUUCGGAUUGCACUCUGCAACUCGAGUGCAUGAAGCUGGAAUUACUAGUAAUCGUGGAUCAGCGUGCCACGGUGAAUGCGUUCCCGGGUCUUGUACACACCGCCCGUCACACCAUGGGAGUUGGUUCUACCUUAAGGCAAGGUUUCAAACCCUUGACCACGGUAUAGUCAGCGACUGGGGUGAAGUCGUAACAAGGUAACC